Long non-coding RNA from Astatotilapia calliptera (eastern happy), 1100 nucleotides. NCBI's taxonomy places the organism in Eukaryota, Metazoa, Chordata, Actinopteri, Cichliformes, Cichlidae. The record is from Ensembl.
AAAACCCAACUUUAUUGAACAAAAGAAGAAAGCACAAAAAGCAGUAGCUACGUCAGCAGCACAGAGAUGACGUCAAAUACAGAAGCUGAACACACACGGAGGAAUAAAGUGAAGACAGCAGGACAGCAAACAUAGAAACUACAGAGGAAGAACAAUAAGGUUCUAACUCUUUAUGAGUGUUGGUCUGGAUCUCAUCAUCACAGUCAAAUGUCUGUGAAUAUGAAACUGGGCCAAAAAAAGGUUUCUAUAGUUGUCCUGUGGUUAGUACGGCAUUAGUAAUGAAGCCUCUCACUGACAGAUCCUUGAUGACUGAAACAGAAGUUUAAUGAGUGUCCGAAAGUCUCCUUAUAUUUCAAUCGCAUUGCUAUAAUUGUUAUUCAGAACCACACGUCUGUCCACCCCUCCCACAUUCGUUAAGUAUGCCUACUGCUGUACUGUUGAGCUGCUGUUAACUUCCAUUAAAGUAUAUCCGGACAUCACUCUCUGUGCCCCACUCUCUGACCGGAGUUUAAGUCCUGAGGGAGCUAUCAUCCCAGCAUCCCAGAGAUAACUCUCUAACAAUGAGCCUCGUCUUUGGUUCGUCUUCAGUUAGAACGAUACCUCAUAAAAUCAUAAAAUCAAUGUGAAAUUUCACAGGAAGCCAGUGUAAGUUAGCUAAAACUGGAGUAAUAUGAUCAUGCAUUCUGGCACCCGAUAAAAGGCAUGCAGCAGCGUUCUGUACUAAUUGCAACCGGUAGAGAGAGGAGUGAGGGAGGCCUAAAUAAAGGGAGUUACAAUAGUCCAAUCUAGAGAUAAUGAAUGCAUGAAUAAGCUUUUCAAGGUCUCUUACAAUGUGGGAGAGGUAACUAGCAAGUGGGCCAAGGGUAACAGUUAGUUGGUUCAAAGGGAUAUGGCUGUCAAAGACAAUAACUUCAGUUUUACUGUCAUUCAAGGUAAGAGAGUUUUGAGAUGGCCAGUGUGGUGGGGCGUGGUCUGCAGGUGCCAUGCAGGGAGGGCGGACGCACCUGCACGGCAUCCUUAAUCUCUCCCGCUGAGUUAAAAACACGGGGACUCAGGGGUUGGUGUGUGUUGUGGUGUGAUGUGAUUUGAAUAAAAUCGCU